Long non-coding RNA from Triticum aestivum (bread wheat), 814 nucleotides. RefSeq lists it as uncharacterized. NCBI's taxonomy places the organism in Eukaryota, Viridiplantae, Streptophyta, Magnoliopsida, Poales, Poaceae. The transcript is spliced from 3 exons. The record is from RefSeq and is a predicted model, not a curated record.
GUGCUCGCAAGUUGUUAUUCCCGGCAUGAGGAGAAGAAGAGACUAGCUACCGUAUGAAAAAUCAGCACCGAUCUCUCUCCCAAGUUUCAAGCCAAUCUUCCCGUUUCAUCGUUGCCGGCACCAACUUUUUCGGAGUUCUCCCCGCGUCGCCCGACCGAUAGUUACCAAAGGGGGAAGGCAUGCAAGGCCCUCCUGGUCUGCGUCCUCCGGCUCCAUUCUACCCCGGUGGAUACCCUCCCCCGCCGGGCUGGCCUGGUUACCCUAUGCCAUUUGUUCCGGUGCAAGGGUACGGAGCUCCACCUGGUGCGUAUCCUCAACCCGGAGGAUACCCUCCAGCUGGGUAUCCACAACAACAUGGCCAUGCGCCGCAAGCUGGUUAUGCCGUCCAUGAUAAAUCGAAGAAGAAGUCUUCAAAGAAAGGAAAAAAAGGUAAGGGUGGUGGCUUCGGCUCAUUCCUCGCCGGUGCCGCUAGCGGUGCAGUUACGGUACUUGGAGCUGUAUUGGCUGAAGAUGAAGAACAGUCUUCUGGCAAGUUCAAAUGGAAGUGAUAAACCAAGAAAAAAAAUGCAAUUACCAUUUUGUCUUUUGAUCGGUGGAGCGAAAAACUACUACUUUUAAGAUGUGGGAAGAUCAUAAUGCCAGUUAUUUCUCUCUUAUGGAUUUGUAGUACAAUUUGAUGUAUCGCAGAUUUGUUCAACACAUGACACAGAUUCCGUGCUCAAAUCUAUACAUCUAUAGAAGGACAGAAAAUCGGCUAAACAUGAGUUUUGAACGCCCGCAAUUAAUUCUAUGGAAAAUUCUUCAAUGAUUUUUA